GAUAACUUUAUUUCAGAGACCUUCUCUAUCCAGUCUUAACUUAUCGUGCACUAACAGUUUUUAAAACUGCUUCAAGACAGCAUACGUUUCACAGAAAAACUUCGACUGUCUCUUUCGCAUUUGCGUUAGAGGCAUCAUGUUCCGCCGUGCGAUUUCUUUCAAUUAUUUUGCGUUAUUCAUUCUUCUUGCAGUUUUUCAAGUCACAUCGACGCAGAAGUUGCAGAGGGGAGAUACAGUGGAAACCGAACAGGCCACGACUGACAGGGACGCAACAUCUUCUAAGUCUGAUCAAACCGUCGGUACAGAGCAAAUACGAGUUGGUGAUUAUCACUACCUUUACGGCUAG
This is a long non-coding RNA of Pocillopora verrucosa, 346 nucleotides long. RefSeq lists it as uncharacterized. Lineage: Eukaryota; Metazoa; Cnidaria; Anthozoa; Scleractinia; Pocilloporidae. The record is from RefSeq and is a predicted model, not a curated record.